This is a long non-coding RNA of Panthera uncia (snow leopard), 548 nucleotides long. RefSeq lists it as uncharacterized. The record is from RefSeq and is a predicted model, not a curated record. The transcript is spliced from 2 exons. Lineage: Eukaryota; Metazoa; Chordata; Mammalia; Carnivora; Felidae.
GCGUCCGAGGACCGAGUCCGGGAGCGCAGCGAGCCGGGAGCCCCGUGCGCGCCGGACAGAGUUCCGGAGGCACGCUGGGGCCCCGGCCGGUUCCGGGGGCCCCAGCCGGGCGGCGCGGGCCACCGGGAAGACCCCUCCAGGAGCGCGCCCCGGGCUCCCCGCCUACCGCGUGGCCCCAGUGGAGCCGCCGCCGCCGCUUCCCGGGGCCGAAUCAAUAUUGAUCCCGCGCCCGGGGCGGGGUGGCCCGGCGGCGGCCUCGGCAGCUCAUUAACGCCAGCGGUUGCCAUGGUAACGAGACCCCAAGCGUCUUCAGUUCACACUUCCCUGGAAAAUGAGACAAACCGUGAUCUUUUAAAACCCAGCUACAUAAUCUGAUUAUUCCUCGCUGGCAAGCCUCAGAGAAGAGCCAUGCAUCGGGAAAUUGGGCCGGGAAAGUUUGCCUCCUGCGCCAGAUUCGAAGCUCCUCGGUGCAUGAUGGGCUCAGGAUAAAGUGCCACUUUCUUAGAUAUUGGCACAAAUUAAAAAUAAAGGCAAAAUCCCUCCCAUAA